Molecule: ribosomal RNA, 457 nt
Filed under: uncultured Sphingobacteriales bacterium
Lineage: Bacteria; Pseudomonadati; Bacteroidota; Sphingobacteriia; Sphingobacteriales
Description: bacterial SSU rRNA
Rfam family: Bacterial small subunit ribosomal RNA
Source: RNAcentral
CCGCACAAGCGGAGGACAUGUGGUUUAAUUCGAUGAUACGCGAGGAACCUUACCUGGGCUUAAAUGCAGAGUGCAUGAAGUGGAAACACUUCUUCCCUUCGGGCUCUUGCAAGGUGCUGCAUGGUUGUCGUCAGCUCGUGCCGUGAGGUGUCGGGUUAAGUCCCAUAACGAGCGCAACCCUUAUCGUUAGUUGCCAGCGGGUAAAGCCGGGAACUCUAGCGAAACUGCCGGUGUAAACCGAGAGGAAGGUGGGAUGACGUCAAAUCAGCACGGCCCUUAUGUCCAGGGCUACACACGUGUUACAACGGCCGGUACAGAGGGCAGCUACCUGGAGACAGGAUGCGAAUCUCGAAAGCCGGUCUCAGUUCGGAUCGGAGUCUGCAACUCGACUCCGUGAAGCUGGAUUCGCUAGUAAUCGCGCAUCAGCCAUGGCGCGGUGAAUACGUUCCCGGGCCUU